This 443-nucleotide ribosomal RNA is filed under the name uncultured bacterium. Its description in RNAcentral is "partial 16S ribosomal RNA". It matches the Rfam family "Bacterial small subunit ribosomal RNA", at positions 338 to 795 of the family's 1533-position model. The record is from RNAcentral.
CCUACGGGAGGCAGCAGUGGGGAAUAUUGGGCAAUGGGCGCAAGCCUGACCCAGCAACGCCGCGUGAAGGAAGAAGGCUCUCGGGUUGUAAACCUUUUUUGUCAGGGACGCAGCAAGAGACGGUACCUGACGAACAAGCCACGUUUAACUACGGGCAUGCAGUAGCGGUAAUCCGUAGGUGGCAAUCGUUCUCCGGAUUUACUGGGUGUAAAGGGGGUGUAGGCGGGACUGCAAGUUAGAUGUGAAAACCACGGGCUCAACCUGUGGCGUGCAUUUGAAACUGUAGGUCUUGAGUACUGGAGAGGCAGGCGGAAUGCGUAGUGUAGCGGUGAAAUGCGUAGAUAUUAGGAAGAACACCAGUGGCGAAGGCGGUAUGCUGGAGGGCAACUGACGCUGAGGCGCGAAAGCGUGGGGAUCGAACAGGAUUAGAUACCCGAGUAGUC